UGGGGAAUAUUGGACAAUGGGCGAAAGCCUGAUCCAGCCAUGCCGCGUGAGUGAUGAAGGCCUUAGGGUUGUAAAGCUCUUUCGCCGGGGAAGAUAAUGACGGUACCCGGAAAAGAAGCCUCGACUAACUCCGUGCCAGCAGCCGCGGUAAGACGGAGGAGGCUAGCGUUAUUCGGAAUUACUGGGCGUAAAGCGUGCGCAGGUUGUGAGUUCAGUUGGAUGUGAAAGCCCGGGGCUUAACCUCGGAUGUGCAUCCAAUACUGGCUCGCUGGAGGUUGGAAGAGGAGAGUGGAAUUCCCAGUGUAGAGGUGAAAUUCGUAGAUAUUGGGACGAACACCAGUGGCGAAGGCGGCUCUCUGGUCCAUACCUGACACUCAUGCACGAAAGCGUGGGGAGCAAACAGGAUUAGAUACCCUGGUAGUCCACGCCGUAAACGAUGUAUGCUAGACGUCGGGAGGCUUGCCUUUCGGUGUCGAAGCUAACGCGAUAAGCACACCGCCUGGGGAGUACGGCCGCAAGGUUAAAACUCAAACGAAUUGACGG
Molecule: ribosomal RNA, 543 nt
Filed under: uncultured bacterium
Lineage: Bacteria
Description: bacterial SSU rRNA
Rfam family: Bacterial small subunit ribosomal RNA
Source: RNAcentral